Long non-coding RNA from Onychomys torridus (southern grasshopper mouse), 942 nucleotides. RefSeq lists it as uncharacterized. Lineage: Eukaryota; Metazoa; Chordata; Mammalia; Rodentia; Cricetidae. The record is from RefSeq and is a predicted model, not a curated record. The transcript has 3 exons.
AUUGAUGAUGAUAUGCAGGAAGUAGUGGAAUGGGAAGAAAUCAAGAGAGAUCUUUGAAGUCAACAGAAGCUGUUUCAUCUCAAGGGUUCUUCACUUGGGGCUAAAGUCCUGGAAAACCAACAGCCACCAAGGCCACCCUAAGCCAAUAGUUUCCAGAAAACUCAAAGAAUGAAUUUCACAGACAACAUAAGGGCUAAUAAAGACAAUCCCUUCCAUGCAUCUUAUGGCCACCUGACCUACACAGGCCCUCACUGAGACUCUUCUCCUGGUGAUUCUAGAGUGUGUCAGCCUGACAAAAUGGACAGUCACAUUAGAUAAAGGAGAAGAAAGUAACAGUCACUCUGGACCUGUUGGCAACGCUUCAGUGUCACAGGUGCGGGACAGCUCCCCAAAAGUCUACUUCAGUGAAGAUUUAGGAUGUCAGGAAGUCACUUCUAAGAUGAAAGGUGAAUUGCUGUAUCUCACCCCUCCUACAGAAAGUGGGGCAUGGAGCUGGCAGGCUCCAUGUGGGAGAAGAGAAAGCUGCAGCAGGUCUCGACUAGUCACCCUGCCACUUGGGCCACAUCAGCUUGCAGAUCCAGUUGUGCUUGACGUGGUACUGGCAGAUGUAGAUGCCACUGCAUCUUUGGCAGGCACAUAGAAGUGAAUCACAGAACAAACUCAGCAUUUGGAAGGAAGCCCUGCUCUCUCCAUGGAAACGACUCUGUUUAGUUGGAUGUUGGAUGUUGAUCAGAACUGAACCCUUAGAUAUCACUUUACUGUGUGGUCUGAACUCAGUGGCAAAUCAUGUCGGUAGUAAAUAAUGUUGAUGGGAUCUGACUGCACAUCUGUGGUUUUCUUCAUCACGCCCACAGCUCCAGAAUAAUGGGCGAGGGGGCAUUCAGAGAAUAGUUAGAAGAAGGGCAUCCUAUAAAAUAUCUGACCAGGCUGGAGUGAAGGCUC